This is a long non-coding RNA of Humulus lupulus (European hop), 537 nucleotides long. RefSeq lists it as uncharacterized. The transcript is spliced from 5 exons. The record is from RefSeq and is a predicted model, not a curated record. Lineage: Eukaryota; Viridiplantae; Streptophyta; Magnoliopsida; Rosales; Cannabaceae.
UAUUGCAAAGUUUUAAUAUUGAUAUUUCUUUCCAUGCUUAUUUUUGCAUGACUAGAGCUAAUUUUCAGAUUAAGCAUGCCCAGCAUCUUACACUUAGGACUGCAGACUGAUUUGGUGAACUAGGGAUUAUUGCUUCAGUACAGAAUUUGGAAAUAUCUUGUCUUGAAAAGAAUUUGGAUAUGAGACUCAGUGUAGUCACCAAAGAAACUAAACCUGGUCUAACUCAAUACCUGCUAGGCUGUGUGUUUUGCUUUAAUGGGCAUUGGCAGCUCAUUUCAUGCUCAAGAAACUGCUGUGAGUGGGCAAUUGGAGAGUCGAGUGUGGGUUGUUGAGAUCAUCUGCACUUUGGUCAGGAAAUUAUCUCCUAAUCCUAAUAGUGCUGCUAUAAUGGCCAUGGGUGUUAACAUCUUGGCAAAGAGAUUGAAUGAUUGGGGUUCUUGAUUGAGUUUCUAUCCCAUGCUUCCAUUGUUGGGUUCAUGGGAGGAGCUGCCAUUACAAUGACCCUUCAGCAGCUCAAAGGAUUGCUUGGCAUAAAAA